ACGAGAAGCUUGCUUCUCUGAUGUUAGCGGCGGACGGGUGAGUAACACGUGGAUAACCUACCUAUAAGACUGGGAUAACUUCGGGAAACCGGAGCUAAUACCGGAUAAUAUUUUGAACCGCAUGGUUCAAAAGUGAAAGACGGUCUUGCUGUCACUUAUAGAUGGAUCCGCGCUGCAUUAGCUAGUUGGUAAGGUAACGGCUUACCAAGGCAACGAUGCAUAGCCGACCUGAGAGGGUGAUCGGCCACACUGGAACUGAGACACGGUCCAGACUCCUACGGGAGGCAGCAGUAGGGAAUCUUCCGCAAUGGGCGAAAGCCUGACGGAGCAACGCCGCGUGAGUGAUGAAGGUCUUCGGAUCGUAAAACUCUGUUAUUAGGGAAGAACAUAUGUGUAAGUAACUGUGCACAUCUUGACGGUACCUAAUCAGAAAGCCACGGCUAACUACGUGCCAGCAGCCGCGGUAAUACGUAGGUGGCAAGCGUUAUCCGGAAUUAUUGGGCGUAAAGCGCGCGUAGGCGGUUUUUUAAGUCUGAUGUGAAAGCCCACGGCUCAACCGUGGAGGGUCAUUGGAAACUGGAAAACUUGAGUGCAGAAGAGGAAAGUGGAAUUCCAUGUGUAGCGGUGAAAUGCGCAGAGAUAUGGAGGAACACCAGUGGCGAAGGCGACUUUCUGGUCUGUAACUGACGCUGAUGUGCGAAAGCGUGGGGAUCAAACAGGAUUAGAUACCCUGGUAGUCCACGCCGUAA
Molecule: ribosomal RNA, 749 nt
Filed under: uncultured bacterium
Lineage: Bacteria
Description: bacterial SSU rRNA
Rfam family: Bacterial small subunit ribosomal RNA
Source: RNAcentral